UACGUAGGGGGCUAGCGUUGUCCGGAUUUAUUGGGCGUAAAGAGCGUGUAGGCGGCCAAGUAGGUCCGGUGUGAAAACUCGAGGCUUAACCUCGAGAUGUCAUCGGAAACCAUUUGGCUAGAGUCCGGAAGAGGAAAGUGGAAUUCCCGGUGUAGCGGUGAAAUGCGUAGAGAUCGGGAAGAACAUCGGUGGCGAAAGCGCUCUACUGGACGGUGACUGACACUCAGGGACGAAAGCUAGGGGAGCGAAUGGG
RNAcentral lists this ribosomal RNA (253 nucleotides) under uncultured bacterium. RNAcentral's name for it is "partial 16S ribosomal RNA". It matches the Rfam family "Bacterial small subunit ribosomal RNA", at positions 524 to 776 of the family's 1533-position model. The record is from RNAcentral.